This 648-nucleotide ribosomal RNA is filed under the name uncultured Porphyromonadaceae bacterium. RNAcentral describes it as "bacterial SSU rRNA". It matches the Rfam family "Bacterial small subunit ribosomal RNA", at positions 71 to 715 of the family's 1533-position model. Lineage: Bacteria; Pseudomonadati; Bacteroidota; Bacteroidia; Bacteroidales; Porphyromonadaceae. The record is from RNAcentral.
AUAAAGUAGCAAUACUUUGGUGGCGACCGGCGCACGGGUGAGUAACGCGUAUGCAACCCAUCUAUCAGAGGGGAAUAACCCGGCGAAAGUCGGACUAAUUCCGCAUAAAACAGGGACACCGCAUGGUGAUAUUUGUUAAAGAAAUUCGCUGAUAGAUGGGCAUGCGUUCCAUUAGGUAGUUGGUGAGGUAACGGCUCACCAAGCCGACGAUGGAUAGGGGAACUGAGAGGUUGGUCCCCCACACUGGUACUGAGACACGGACCAGACUCCUACGGGAGGCAGCAGUGAGGAAUAUUGGUCAAUGGGCGAGAGCCUGAACCAGCCAAGUCGCGUGAAGGAAGAAGGAUCUAUGGUUCGUAAACUUCUUUUGCAGGGGAAUAAAGUGCAGGACGUGUCCUGUUUUGUAUGUACCCUGAGAAUAAGGAUCGGCUAACUCCGUGCCAGCAGCCGCGGUAAUACGGAGGAUCCGAGCGUUAUCCGGAUUUAUUGGGUUUAAAGGGUGCGUAGGUGGUUUGAUAAGUCAGCGGUGAAAGUUUGCAGCUUAACUGUAAAAAUGCCGUUGAAACUGUCGGACUUGAGUGUAAAUGAGGUAGGCGGAAUGCGUGGUGUAGCGGUGAAAUGCUUAGAUAUCACGAAGAACUCCGAUUG